GACGAACGCUGGCGGCGUGCUUAACACAUGCAAGUCGAACGGAAAGGCCCUGCUUUUGUGGGGUGCUCGAGUGGCGAACGGGUGAGUAACACGUGAGUCACCUGCCCUUGACUUUGGGAUAACUUCAGGAAACUGGGGCUAAUACCGGAUAGGAGCUCCUGCUGCAUGGGGGGGGUUGGAAAGUUUCGGCGGUUGGGGAUGGACUCGCGGCUUAUCAGCUUGUUGGUGGGGUAGUGGCUUACCAAGGCUUUGACGGGUAGCCGGCCUGAGAGGGUGACCGGCCACCUUGGGACUGAGAUACGGCCCAGACUCCUACGGGGGGCAGCAGUGGGGAAUAUUGCACAAUGGGCGGAAGCCUGAUGCAGCAACGCCGCGUGCGGGAUGACGGCCUUCGGGUUGUAAACCGCUUUCGCCUGUGACGAAGCGUGAGUGACGGUAAUGGGUAAAGAAGCACCGGCUAACUACGUG
RNAcentral lists this ribosomal RNA (468 nucleotides) under uncultured bacterium. Its description in RNAcentral is "partial 16S ribosomal RNA". It matches the Rfam family "Bacterial small subunit ribosomal RNA", at positions 28 to 507 of the family's 1533-position model. The record is from RNAcentral.